This is a long non-coding RNA of Capsicum annuum, 1219 nucleotides long. RefSeq lists it as uncharacterized. The record is from RefSeq and is a predicted model, not a curated record. NCBI's taxonomy places the organism in Eukaryota, Viridiplantae, Streptophyta, Magnoliopsida, Solanales, Solanaceae. The transcript is spliced from 2 exons.
GUUAUACAUAGAUAAAAAUUGUACCAAAUAAUAUAUUAAUAAUACACAAAAAUAAGGCAUGAAUUAUUUUUAUUAACACACUCUGCCAAACGAGCCCUAAGAGCAAUACCCAGCAAAACAUGACAUUAACCAGCAAAUAACAACUAUGCCAACAACAAUCAAACAACACGACAAUCUUCAGACCGACAGACGGGUACAAACCCGUUGGUUCAUCACCUUUCAUCUGCUUCCUCUCUUUUUUUGAGUUCAGCAAGCCCGAGGCUCUACAAAUUCAAAGAAAAGAUGGGGAAAAUCCAAAGAACUAUUAGAUUCAAGGUGUUUCACCUUUGAUUCGAUGACCGUGGAGUUUAAUAUGAUAGGCUCAAGCUGGAUAGUAUCCAAUCCGCCACUUUUCCUUCAAGAUGAUUGAGAAGAGGUGACCCCUUGCCCUUCUUUAUUUCGUUUCAUCAUCAAUUCUUCUGAAGUUUGCCUGUUCAAGAAUCCAAAAAUUUGAAAUUUUAAAAGGGCUUCUCCACGAAGCCGUUGCAACCUACAAUACCGCCUAUAAAAGGGGGUCUUUUCCACCCCUUUGGGGAAUAAGGUUAAAUGGUAGAAUUGGGGAAUACUUGAGUUUUUUCACUCUUCAAUUUAAUAAAUUCUCUAUUUUUCUUUUUCUCUGUUCCGAUUUACUCACGCCGCCCUCAUAAUUAUUUUUGGUUGUUCAAACUUGGAGUCGAAGUUAGUGAUGAAAUUGCUUGUCGGCUUGGCUUCCUGGUUUGCUGCCCCGAAAAAGCGUCAUUGAGUCCAUCAGACUUUCAUCUAUCGCAUUCCGUUGGGUUAAACCCAACCACUAUCGAGUCAAAGCCUUAACCAAAUCCAAAAACUGCACUGGUAUACAAUCUGUAUACAGUUAUAUAUCGUAUAUAUUGAAAGCAGCAGUUGCGCACUAUUACAUUGUGCACAAUAAAUAAUGGAGGGGAGAAAGCAGUUUUCUAUACUGAUAUACACUGCAUAUACAGUGAUAUACAGAAAAACGCAGGAAAAAGGAGAUGCUGAUAUAUAGCUGAUAUACAUGAAAAAAUGGACUGGAAAUUCAUGAGAUUUAGGUCCAAAAGCUGGGUAGCCCUUUAGUGGGCCCUUUGGGCCUAAUCUUAACUCUUUUUUAUUUAUAUUUCGUUCUAAUUUAUCUAUUUGUAUUUACUUGAACACUUUAAUCAAUUAAUCUAGAUAAAUUUCCUAA